UGCUCCUAAAGUAGUUUUAGUUCUAAUAUUGGGCACUGAAGGCAGAUUUUGAUAUACAAUAAAAAAAUACUACAGUAACUAGCAAAGCCCAGGGACAAAAAUAAGGAUAUUGCUUAAUGUCUUUAAAACUAUGCAAACGUCAAAUUAAAAAAGUUAGUGGAUUAACAGCAGCAUUUGCAUGACAGGCAGGAUAACCACUUACAGGGAGUGACAAGCAAAUCUGUUCCGUUUCGCCAUAAAAUUUGCGAAACACAUUUGUCGCCCGCGUCUUUUUUUGGCGCAACCACGUCAUGCCCAAUUUUUCCGCAGAAAAUCUUCACAGAAUUUUUGCAAACAAUUUGCCAAUGGCGAAAUGUGGAAAUUCGCUGUGAAUCCAUGCCUGGUGAAAAAAUUCGCUCAUCACCACUUGCAGGUUGAUUUGCCACAGAUACAGUAUGUCUAGGUUUCCUGAAUGGCUGCAGAUUUUUUGUAAUUUUAAGGAUCCAAUGGAUUGAUUUAAGCAAACUAUUCUUAAACGUCCGCCCCCCAAAAAUAUAUAUAUGCUUUCUAGACUAUAAAAUGUGCUUUCUUUUAUAAGUAAAAUAAUUCUAUUUACAUAUGUGGUUUUUAGGUAUUUACUGUAUCUGAAGCUACAUAUCUAGUAUUUGUCAAGGAAAAGCAAGUCAGACAUAUAAGCUUCCCAAACUUUUGCUGUGCUAUUGAUCCCUUUACCACUUUCAUUUUAUGUACCCUAUGAUAUAUCCCAUCUUUUAUCUAUUGCAUUCUAAUUGGCUUUUGCCACAUUUUGAAGCAUUAGCAGAACUUUUUCUCAAAGCAACAGCAAAACUUCCUCAAUUGCAUAUUUGUAAAUUGUUUCGAUGACAACAAAACAACAGAAUUUCUAAAUGUCAAAUAUUACUGAAGCAUGUCACUUAUAACUGACGCUGAAGAGAAAACCCUGGGAUUGGGAAAGAUUUAUGCCUUAACUAUGGGGGUGGAAAUCCUUCAAACUGUAUGCUUAUUUUAGCACUUCAUUACAGUUGUUUACACUGCAGCACAAAUAACACAUUUAGAAAUAAGCAUCUUUAAUACAACUAAACGAUUGUGCCUUAGUGAGUAAACUGCAAAAACAAUUAUAUAAAUUGCUCCGUAUGUUAUUUGCAAGAGUUAUGUUGUGUGGACACUAUAGUUAUAAUAAUUUCCCCAGCAAAGAAAGUGGAUGUAGAAAACAGCAAAGAACAGAUGCAUGUAGAGAAUUAAGUAACCCUUUGCUACAGAUAAACUCUACAGUAUAUGAAGUAUUAUACAGGCCAGGCAUUUUGCCUUGCAUUCCCCUCUGGUGCCAUUCUCCUGCGUUCUACAACUGUGGGUAGGGGGCAGGAAGGAUUACACCCUUACCCUCAUGAAUACAGUGCUGCCGAAUGCUGGCAGUCCUGUAUCCAUUGAGAAAGUGCUGGUCACCAUUCUGCAGUGCAUUGUGCAAAAAUGCAAAACACAUGGUCGCUUGCACUCAUUUUUUGCACUUUGUACCUUUUCUGCACUUGCAAACAAGCUCUAUACUUUCUGUUUGACACUGGUUACCCAAUACAUCUGGAAUAAGAUACCACACACACUAAAAGCAUGCAUAUUCCAUAGGUGAGAGCUUGCACCUGAAGGGUUUAUUGCUUGUUCCUAUCAGCCCUAAGUGGCAUUUUCUUUCCGACACUUGGCUUUGUAACUGGGAAUGAAUAACACCUACAGGAAUGUAUCAGUUAUAUAUCAGUACACCAAUAGGGAUGAUCAAACUUUUUUGACCAGUACAGUUUUGCAUUGAAAUUCAAAGCAAACAGGUAGAAACAAGCAAGGUAUGUUAUGCCUAAAAAGAAAUACAGAUGUUCUUAUUGGCUCCUUGUCUUCCACGUCAACCAAUAGGAUUAGCGCUCACCUCCUUUCUAUCUUGGGAGCUGUCGGAGCACCAUGUUUGGAAGAAUUUUGCAACAUGCGAGCCUUUUUUUCUAUGAAGAGGAGUUGUAGCAUGGUGGAAGAGAGCUUCUCUAACAAGGAUCCAGAAUCACUGAUGUCCAAAGAAAAGAAUGUAUCUUAACCUCAAAAUUGUCAAAAAAAAAAAA
This is a long non-coding RNA of Xenopus tropicalis (tropical clawed frog), 2087 nucleotides long. RefSeq lists it as uncharacterized. Lineage: Eukaryota; Metazoa; Chordata; Amphibia; Anura; Pipidae. The record is from RefSeq and is a predicted model, not a curated record. The transcript is spliced from 2 exons.